AAGGGGAGAAUUAUUAAUUAGAGUGCAGGGAACAUAUGUUACACUACUAUACUUAAACUGAAAACAGUAACUAAAGGGAUGUAAAGUGGUGAGAAAAAGAUCAUUUCAGGUCACUUCUCAUCAACUUAUGAAACUUUCGCUUUCAUUUUACUAUUUGCCAAGUGUCUCGCCUUUACAACGACUGCAGAAAUCAGCACAACAACCAUAGCUUGUCAAGAAUAUGAAGGGUGAUCCAGGCCACUUGCCCAGCCCGCUUGGGUCGCUUUCUCCUUCACUGAACAUGUUGAGGACUUAAACAUGCUCCUCUGUGGAGCCAACAACUCCAUACUGAGGGUUAGGUCUUGGUUGAGAGGGCUUUGUACUGGGUCACUGCUGCUUGUUUCCAGUCAACACACCCACUCACCCUUCUCAAAACUGGCACAGUCACUGUCAGUAAAAGACUGAGAGAUAUGAGUACGCGGGAAGUUUGUGGUGUAUGUGUGUGAGUGUUUGCGUGUGCGUGUGUGUAUUUGUAGGUGCCUGUGGUGUCAGUGGUUCUGCUUGACAGUACAUGUAUAGUUUUUAUAUCCACGUACAUGUAAUUGAUACUACACAUUGCAUCAAAAAACAAAACAACAAAAACAAUAAAGGAAAAAAUGUUCAUCCUCUUCUUCGUCAUUGCUCUUUUUUGUUCCAUUGUAGCUUAUGUCUCUGUCACAUAUCUUGUCCACGUUGUACCGAUUGAAGAGUGCUUUUUUUUACCUUGUUAGUCUGCACUUCCUCAUAAAGAACAUGUGAAAACGUGCAUUUUGCUACAGAUAAAGCAUAAGAACAGUAGCCAUUUCCCUGCACAAAAAUAUCCCAUGACUUCCACAAGUGACCUCUUGUCAUCUGUACAAGAAAACAUGAGCCAAUUAGACAAUAAAUUAACUUGAUUAAAAAACAAAACAAAACAAAAACCCAACUCAAAAGCCUUUUCCUGUGCAUGUGGAUGUCAUAAAUGCCUAAUAGCUGGGCUCACAUGCAUGCUCGCUAACUGACUGUAUGUCUUUGUAGACAAAGGUGAAAUAGGGUCAAAAAGGUAAUUCCGCUCAAUCUGUUGACACAAUCUGGCAACACAAAGCCUAUUUUACUGUUCCUGUGCUCUUACGGUUCUCAUUGUGUCCUAGACUUCACCUGCUGACCUUUACAGUUAAUUUUCAAAAUAAACAAAAGUCCUAAAAAAGCAUAAGCAUUUCUUGCAUGUUAAAUGUCAAGAAACUAUUCUCAGAUUGUCUGUGUGAAAGAAAACUACAAGCAUACACAAGGCAUAAAGACAGAUUUUUGAAAAGACAGUCAAGUGCUUUUCAAAUGAAUAACCUACACAUGUUAUCUGUAAAGGAAUCAGCAGAGAGCAUCAGCCCAAAACUGCAAAUCAGCUGAUUGGAGGAGGAGCCGACAGGAAGAGCACAAAACUUUUCUACCACCUCUUUCUGUGACACCCAUCGUGGGUGUAGGACUUUCUUUCUACACCAACCUGUAUUUCACAAAUAUACAAAUAGACCAACGCUGAACAUAAUGGGAGCUGCAGCUUAAAAGAGUGUUUGCUGUGCUGCCAGAAGACAGUGGGACAAACUGGUGUUUUAGUGUGUUCAACAGAUCUUUAAAGACAUGGCUGCAAACACAGUUUGACAACCAAUAGCACCUCAGUUCUCAUCCCCAAGAAAAAGUAAAACGCUCCCAAGCAACUGCUUUACUUUGACCUCAAUAUACAAACAUCCUGGCGUGAACCUGAAAUAUACUGUAAAAGCAAGUCAGCGGAUCUGCCUUUGUCAUUUUCCUCCAUGUACAGGAAGCUCACUGUAACAUGUCACUGCUAUUUCAUCACUAACCUCACUUUGGCUUCAAAUAAUUAAAUAAAUAAAAUCCACCUUACCUUCAGCUCUGUGUUACCAUGUAAGAGCAGGAAACUCUAAAAAGGAGCACCACAAACCUGAGACAGACAGACAGAGAGA
Molecule: long non-coding RNA, 1973 nt
Organism: Oreochromis niloticus (Nile tilapia)
Lineage: Eukaryota; Metazoa; Chordata; Actinopteri; Cichliformes; Cichlidae
Exons: 2
Source: RefSeq, a predicted model, not a curated record